This 510-nucleotide ribosomal RNA is filed under the name uncultured bacterium. Its description in RNAcentral is "bacterial SSU rRNA". It matches the Rfam family "Bacterial small subunit ribosomal RNA", at positions 18 to 518 of the family's 1533-position model. The record is from RNAcentral.
UCUGGCUCAGGAUGAACGCUAGCUACAGGCUUAACACAUGCAAGUCGAGGGGCAGCAUGUGGUUGCUGCAACCAAUGAUGGCGACCGGCGCACGGGUGAGUAACGCGUAUCCAACCUUCCCCUUAGUAGAGGAUAGCCCGGCGAAAGUCGGAUUAAUACUCUAUGUUCUUCAAUGCGGGCAUCUAAGUUGAAGCAAAGAUUUAUCGCUAAGGGAUGGGGAUGCGUCUGAUUAGGUUGCAGGCGGGGUAACGGCCCACCUGGCCUACGAUCAGUAGGGGUUCUGAGAGGAAGGUCCCCCACACUGGUACUGAGACACGGACCAGACUCCUACGGGAGGCAGCAGUGAGGAAUAUUGGUCAAUGGGCGCGAGCCUGAACCAGCCAAGUAGCGUGCAAGGACGACUGCCCUAUGGGUUGUAAACUGCUUUUAUCAGGGAAUAAAGUGAGGCACGCGUGCCUUUUUGUAUGUACCUGAUGAAUAAGGACCGGCUAAUUCCGUGCCAGCCGCCGC